GAUGAGCCUGAAGACAUCCAUCACGGAUCUGACUGGCAAUAUCUGCAACAGCACCAGGGCCAUGAGGGAGGAAAAUUGCUGAAGAUUUGGAUGUUGAACCGAUCUCUUUCAUAGUGUCAAAGUACUGCGUCAGCAGGACUAAAUCCAUCACAUCCUUAGCUGAAGUCCCAGGAACAUUGCCAGAGAAGCCAAGUACACUGUCUCUUAGCCCAUCAACUAUAGCCUGCCGCUGCCUUGCAAUACCAAGCCCAGACAGAUACUUGGCUUCAGCCUCUCCCUCGGCCCUCUUGAUCUGAAUGAUCUUCUCUGCCUCUGCCUUCUCAUUUGCUGCAACACGUAGCCUUGCAGCUG
Molecule: small RNA, 351 nt
Filed under: Oryza sativa Japonica Group (Japanese rice)
Lineage: Eukaryota; Viridiplantae; Streptophyta; Magnoliopsida; Poales; Poaceae
Description: sRNA Os10g0464050
Source: RNAcentral